RNAcentral lists this ribosomal RNA (900 nucleotides) under uncultured bacterium. RNAcentral's name for it is "bacterial SSU rRNA". It matches the Rfam family "Bacterial small subunit ribosomal RNA", at positions 8 to 921 of the family's 1533-position model. The record is from RNAcentral.
AGAGUUUGAUCCUGGCUCAGGACGAACGCUGGCGGCGUGCUUAACACAUGCAAGUCGAGCGGUAAGGCCCUUUCGGGGGUACACGAGCGGCGAACGGGUGAGUAACACGUGAGUAAUCUGCCCUUCACUUCGGGAUAACCACCGGAAACGGUGGCUAAUACCGGAUAUGACCUGUCCCUGCAUGGGGGUGGGUGGAAAGUUCUGGCGGUGAAGGAUGUGCUCGCGGCCUAUCAGCUUGUUGGUGAGGUAAUGGCUCACCAAGGCUUCGACGGGUAGCCGGCCUGAGAGGGUGACCGGCCACACUGGGACUGAGACACGGCCCAGACUCCUACGGGAGGCAGCAGUGGGGAAUAUUGGACAAUGGGCGAAAGCCUGAUCCAGCAACGCCGCGUGAGGGAUGACUGCCUUCGGGUUGUAAACCUCUUUCAGUACCGACGAAGCGAGAGUGACGGUAGGUACAGAAGAAGCACCGGCCAACUACGUGCCAGCAGCCGCGGUAAUACGUAGGGUGCGAGCGUUGUCCGGAAUUAUUGGGCGUAAAGGGCUCGUAGGCGGUUUGUCGCGUCGGGAGUGAAAACUCAGGGCUUAACUCUGAGCUUGCUUCCGAUACGGGCAGACUAGAGGUAUGCAGGGGAGAACGGAAUUCCUGGUGUAGCGGUGAAAUGCGCAGAUAUCAGGAGGAACACCGGUGGCGAAGGCGGUUCUCUGGGCAUUACCUGACGCUGAGGAGCGAAAGUGUGGGGAGCGAACAGGAUUAGAUACCCUGGUAGUCCACACCGUAAACGUUGGGCGCUAGGUGUGGGGUCCAUUCCACGGAUUCCGUGCCGCAGUUAACGCAAUAAGUACCCCGCCUGGGGAGUACGUCGGCAACGAUGAAACUCAAAGGAAUUGACGGGGGCC